This 906-nucleotide ribosomal RNA is filed under the name Triticum aestivum (bread wheat). RNAcentral's name for it is "partial small subunit ribosomal RNA". Lineage: Eukaryota; Viridiplantae; Streptophyta; Magnoliopsida; Poales; Poaceae. The record is from RNAcentral.
AUGGGAGCGAGAGAGCACGGUGCGUACGGUUUUGAGCUUGGGGAGGUGGUCUUUGGUGGGGAGGUCGUCGCGGCCGACGACGUCGAGGACCUCCUGGCGGGCGCGGUCCUGCCACUCCGGGUGCAUGGCGAGGGCGACGGUGGCCCAGGUGAGGAGGCUGACGAGCGUCUCCUUCCCGGCGAAGAAGAAGUUCUUGCUCUCCUCGAUGAUCUCCUCCGUCGUCAUGGCCGGCGUCAUGAAGCUCAUCAGGUCCCUCAUGCCGUCCCGCCGCUGCUCGUCGCCGUGACCGUCCUUGGGCAGGUUGGCGAUGAAGGCGGCCAGGCCCUUCCUGAUCUCCCUGACCAGGUGCCACACGCGCAGGUUCCUCCUCAGCGGCAGGAAGCGGUACCCGGGGAUGUACACCUUGCUGUGCGCGUCGGCGGCGAGGCCGGCGAGCUCGUCCUGGAGCUCGAACACUACCCUGCCGUCCUCGUAGUUCCGGCGCCCGAAGGUGGCGAAGGUGAUGACCUCCUGCGGCACGCGCUGGAACCACUCGGCCACGUCCACCUCCGCCUCGCCGCCGGCGCCAUUGCCGACGGCCUUCGCCGCCAGCUCGUCGAGCAUCCGGCGCAUGGUGGCGGCGAUGAAGGGCACGAGCGGCUUGAGGUUCUCGGUGUGGAACGCCGGGGAGAGGACGCGGCGGUGGCGCGCCCAGUGGUCGCCCCGGAGGUUGCCGAGGCCGUAGCCCUCGAACUGGCAGAUGAGCGGGUGCGCCUCGUACCUGUCGAAGUGCUCCGCCCGCGUCAGCAGCACCUCCCGGACCAGCUCCGGCGCGCUGAUCGUCAGCCUCGCCUUGGUCCCGAACCAGAUCAGAUGCUUCGGACCUGCCAAACAACACGCACAAAUUCAGCCAAACAUGUUGUCUGA